CAUGUCCUCGUUCAGCCACGACUCCGAGAAACAUAGGAUACUACAGUUUUUCAGGACCCGUUGAUAGUAUAGUCUCGAACAGAGAUUAUACGGGUUUUCUCCAGUGACUGCACGUUUGCCAACAAAACAGAGGGCAUUGGUGGUCUACAUGCUCACCGAUGUAAUCUCGCCACCUUCGCUUACCUCUCUUUUGCUGCCGUUUCCUCUUUCGAGUCACGGGGAUCAGGGUCUGGUCCGGGGCGGACACAUGCGUCCAGAGUGCUGGGAACAGGCUCCAAAGGGCCACCUCGACAGAAGAUGUCCUCUUCUACAGUGCAGACGAGCAUGCCCUUGGGGAGCUUUGCGCUGUCAAGUAAUAUGUCCGAAAAUGGAUUCCGGCUGCCCCGAGUGGAACUAAACAGCCUGGACCAAAACAACUUGGAGCAACAAAGCAGAAUCAGCGAUUCGACAGUAGUCACCAUACAUGAUACUCCAUCACUAGGGAAUACAUAGCAGGCCGCUAACGUAUUGGACAGGUGACAAAGUCAGCAUAUAAUGCUUGAAAAGAAACUCUUUAUUAUGAACAAAGUGGUGCUAUAAGAACGCAAUGAAUAUGCAUGGACACUCCUGUGGACAUAAACAAUUGCUUUCUUGACUACAGUGUUCAGAACAUGGACAAAAUUAUCCUGCUGUCUGUGCAUUUGCAGCUGUGCUACCAACAACCGUGAGGAUAAGCGUUGGAGGAGAGAUGUGUACAAGAUUUACGGCAUGAACAUGGUAUCAUGUCUAGUUUUUCUGUGUGCGUACAUUUCUGUGAGGGACUUGUUCACAGGGUUUUACAUUUAUUCACAUUAUUCUGAUGUAAGAUUAUUAUUCUUUCUUUUUUAUCUGAAUAAUGUUGUUGUGGUUUUCAGGAAAAAUCAUGAGAAUGUUUCUGUGAAAAGUCGAUACUGGUUUGAAUCCCUGUGGAGAUCUAGAUAGCAUACAAUUAUGAAAUAAUAAGUCCCAAUUAGUUUGAUUCCAAAGGAUUUUGCACUUUUCACUCACCCUAUCCUGUGAUUAUUUUUGCUUGUGGUUAUUUCAUUGAAAUAAAUAUUGAAAAUAAAUAUUGAUAUUUCUA
Oncorhynchus tshawytscha (Chinook salmon) is the source of this 1099-nucleotide long non-coding RNA. Lineage: Eukaryota; Metazoa; Chordata; Actinopteri; Salmoniformes; Salmonidae. The record is from Ensembl.